Molecule: non-coding RNA, 1886 nt
Organism: Physcomitrium patens
Lineage: Eukaryota; Viridiplantae; Streptophyta; Bryopsida; Funariales; Funariaceae
Source: RefSeq, a predicted model, not a curated record
UUUCCUUUACACGAAUGGAAUAGAGUGCUUGCUAGCGUGCGUGCGUUUGUGUGUGCGUGUUGUAUAUUUAUCCAUAUGCGUGUAAGAUCCAAUGCACAUUGAAUAUGAAAAGAAAAAAGAAAAAAAAGAAAAAAAAGAAGCACUGUAGGUUAGUUCAUCUUUACUUUGCUUUCUUAGGUUAACUCUUCCACAACGAAAGAAUUCGGCAGACAGGAACAUGAGGAUUCUGACAUGUUCUGGAUCGGAUCUGUUGUGAUGAGGAGGAGCUGCCGAGGAAUGCGUAGAGGAUCGAACAAGAGGGCUCAGGGAUGAGAUCGAAGAUGGAAUUGGAAAGCCAAGGUCCUUCGGGAUCGGAGCUUUCACCAUAUGGACGCUCUCUUGGUAACGUCGUUGGGAGCGACAUGAGGCCUGUGCGAGUUAUCAAACGGCGGGCUGGAUUAGCGGCGAGACGAUUUCACUGCGUGGAGCUUGGUUUACUUUAAGAAACGCAGACGAUGCCUUCAUUCUGUGGUGUGUUCAGCGCCUUUGCAGUCUCUGUCUGCUCGUACACCAGAUAUUCGAAUUUCCUGAUGUACGACCGCCUAAUUCAGGGUUCUCUGGGGGAGGUAUUCUGUGAAUGCUGUCGAUGCGCACGUAUCGCCUUACAACGAGCUGUUUGAUUUGGCAUUGCCAAAAUGACAAUUCAUCAGAUCUUCAUUUUUUCUCUGGAAUGUCUUAAUUUCUGACCCUAGAGGUUAUUUGUCUGUGGCACAGCAACAUGCGAUUGGAAGAAUUUGUAAUGAUUCAGAGUGCACGAUUAUUCUGUGGAAGAGCAAACUGUUGAUUACACAUGUUGCUCUUAAUUGAUCUUGCUACAUGGGAUGAGAGGCUUUAUAUCUGACACAAUCGUUCGAUACUCAGGCUUAUUUUGAUAGUGAAGUGCUUGGCAAGGUGAACGGAGCUACUUUUUGCAGCCUAUUGCGCAGGUUUGUGCAACCUGAUUGCUGAAGCCGUUGACGUGACGAUGUCGCUGGAGUGAUCCUUGAUCAUCACCUUUGAAGAAGCUGUUGAUUCCUCGAGUAGUUGGAAAACUGUUGGAUUUGGUGCUUCAGCAUUGUAUUCGAUGAGCACUGUCCGAUCUAUUGUCUCUGGUAGAGGAUCUAAAGAGGUGAUGUAGGUCUACGUAUCCAUAUCACUUCGUCGUCGCCGCUUGUCUGCAGAUCUGAGAAUGGACCCGUUUCUUUUUGCAUGUUUCUGUGCGAGUUGGAAUUUGUCCUGUAUUCAAUGUUUUAAAGAUCCGAAGACGCUUAUUACUCUUGUAGUUUGAGUUUUAUGCUUUAUGAUGACAAGCAUGUUUUUUGUUGCAAACAUGUACUGAAAUACUGCGACAACAUAUAUAUAUUUUAAUUUGAAAAGUUGGAAUUGUUCUACAAUACACAUGAGUUGUGUCAAAAAGUAGAUUUUAUUACUUUGUAGAUUUAAAACAAUCCGCUACAAUAAGAUAGAUGAAAAUGAUAAUUUUACAUCAUCAAUAAAAUAAAAAUAUGAUAUCUUGAUUGAUUGAUUGAUUUAUUUAUUUUAAAUUUUAAACACAUACCCCUUAUAUGCUUCUUCUUGCAUAUUUGCAUUCCAAAUUUUGUAGUGUGGCUUAGAUAGUUUUAUUUUUUAUUAGUUCAUUGUACUUUCUCUCAACUUUUUUUUUCACAUUAUUUAUAGAACAGUGAUAGACCUUGCUAACCACAUAUAACAACGCCAAUAGAAGUCAAAUUGACAAAAAAUACAAACGUAGUCCAUUUUGUUGAUUCAUGUAUACUCUACAUUAUUUUACUACAUUGCCAAUAAAACAUUUUGAUUUUCUGUAUGCAAACCUCAAUAACCAAAGAAAUAUUUGUCACAAAGUCAUUAAA